This 459-nucleotide ribosomal RNA is filed under the name uncultured bacterium. RNAcentral describes it as "partial 16S ribosomal RNA". It matches the Rfam family "Bacterial small subunit ribosomal RNA", at positions 338 to 795 of the family's 1533-position model. The record is from RNAcentral.
CCUACGGGAGGCAGCAGUGAGGAAUAUUGGUCAAUGGGAGAGAUCCUGAACCAGCCAAGCCGCGUGAGGGAAGACGGCCCUAUGGGUUGUAAACCUCUUUUGUCGGAGAACAAAACCCGGGACGUGUCCCGGACUGCGUGUAUCCGAAGAAAAAGCAUCGGCUAACUCCGUGCCAGCAGCCGCGGUAAUACGGAGGAUGCGAGCGUUAUCCGGAUUUAUUGGGUUUAAAGGGUGCGUAGGCGGUCCGUUAAGGCAGCGGUAAAAUGGCGGGGCUCAACCCUGUCGAGCCGUUGACACUGGCAGACUUGAGUUGGCGAGAAGUACGCGGGAUGCGCGGUGUAGCGGUGAAAUGCAUAGAUAUCGCGCAGAACUCCGAUUGCGAAGGCAGCGUACCGGCGCCAGACUGACGCUGAGGCACGAAAGCGUGGGGAUCGAACAGGAUUAGAUACCCGUGUAGUC